Molecule: long non-coding RNA, 376 nt
Organism: Eucalyptus grandis
Lineage: Eukaryota; Viridiplantae; Streptophyta; Magnoliopsida; Myrtales; Myrtaceae
Exons: 3
Source: RefSeq, a predicted model, not a curated record
CGGUUUCUGUUGUAAAUUUUCUGUAUAUAUAAAUGACAUAGCUACUGAAAAGGUUUCAAUGCCUAUUAGUUUGAUUUUGAAGCUUUAUGCCUCUUGACUCUGGCACUUCUAUAUCCUCUGAGGAGAGAGGCGAUGAGACUUAUUUUGUGUCUUACUUAAGUGCAUUGAAAUUUUUGUGUCAGCUGCUUGCUGAAUUGGUAAACUUAGAAAGGAAACACAUAAUUGCUGGAAGUGAUGUCGAUUCUGCUUCUCCCCAGUUCUGUGCCAUGUAGGAUGCUUGCAAUCAUUUCUUGGAUGUUUUUGUUCUCUUUAAAAGGGAUUUCUUCAAGUAAUGUCGCAACUGUUGGACUCGGUGCUGUCCAGGUAAAUUGGCGAU